Molecule: ribosomal RNA, 263 nt
Filed under: uncultured bacterium
Lineage: Bacteria
Description: partial 16S ribosomal RNA
Rfam family: Bacterial small subunit ribosomal RNA
Source: RNAcentral
GUCCACGCCCUAAACGAUGCUCACUAGGUGUUGGGGAAGCGAUUCCUUGGUACCGUAGCUAACGCGUGAAGUGAGCCGCCUGGGGAGUACGGCCGCAAGGUUAAAACUCAAAGGAAUUGACGGGGACCCGCACAAGCGGUGGAUGAUGUGGAUUAAUUCGAUGCAACGCGAACAACCUUACCUACCCUUGACAUGUCUGGAAGGCUGCUGAAAGGUGGCUGUGCCCGAAAGGGACCGGAACACAGGUGCUGCAUGGCUGUCGU